CAGUGAUAGUUCUACAAUGAACAUGGUCUGUCUCCAAGAAAGAAGAGGUGUGGUGGUCGUCUUGCCAGCAAACAGGUGCUGUCCUACGAGGACAUUCAACAAAUCGUCCACGAUGUCAACAACUUCUCCGAUGUCCACGGAAUGCUCCUCCCAGGAAUGAUCCCUGUUUUUAAGCGGGUAGACAUUCGGGUGCUACCGACAUUUGAGAGCAAGUCCUCUGUGUGGAGCAAGUACAACACUUUGGUGUGUGAUCAUGCCUAUGGGCCACAACCAUGAUAAACGACGGGCCACAACCAUGAUAAACGACGGGCCACAACCAUGAUAAACGACGGGCCACAACCAUGAUAAACGACGGGCCACAACCAUGAUAAACGACGGGCCACAACCAUGAUAAACGACGGGCCACAACCAUGAUAAACGACGGGCCACAACCAUGAUAAACGACGGGCCACAACCAUGAUAAACGACGGGCCACAACCAUGAUAAACGACGGGCCACAACCAUGAUAAACGACGGGCCACAACCAUGAUAAACGACGGGCCACAACCAUGAUAAACGACGGGCCACAACCAUGAUAAACGACGGGCCACAACCAUGAUAUAUUCGUGGACAUCACAUGUAGUCCUCAAACAUAUCACGGCGUGAACAUGUGUAGUGUGUGAGAGUAUUUCGCUGUCGUACAUAUGUAUGUACAGUACCAGCCAAAAGUUUGGACACACCUACUCAUUCCAGGGUUUUUCUUUAUUUUGACUAUUUUCUACAUUGUAGAAUCACUGCGAAAUAACACAUAUGGAAUCAUGUAGCAACCAAAAGUGUUAAACAAAUCAAAAUAUAUUUUAUAUUUGAAAUUCUUAAAAGUAGCCACCUUUUGCCACAAUGACAGCUUUGCACAAGCAUGUGUGAUUUUUUUUGAAUGUAGCCAAUACAUUCUGUUGUUUGUAUAUGUACAAAUGUACUGUAUGUGUACAAAUGUAUGCACAUACUGUAUAUACCUGCACAUAUACACUACCGGUCAAAGGUUUUAGAACACCAACUCAUUCAAGGGUUUUAAUUUAUUUGUACUAUUUUCUAUAUUGUAGAAUAAUAGUGAAAGAUAUCAACACUAAGAAAUAACACAUAUGGAAUCAUGUAGUAACCAAAAAAGUGUUGAACAAAUCUAAAUAUAUUUUAUAUUUGAUAAUUCUUCAAAUAGCCACCCUUUAUUGUUCUACAAUGUAGAAAAUUGUUUAAAAAAAUAAAAAUAAAGAAAAACCCUGGAAUGAGUAGGUGUUCUAACACUUUUGACUGGCAGCGUACUUGUGCACGUGUAUGUCCAACGACGAUGCAGACAGACACUGUGUCUGUAUAGUUAGAGCAAGAUGUGUGUGCGUGCGUGCGUGAGUGUGUGCCAAAGAAGAACAUGGACACUCAUGCCGAUGGAUUUCAUGUAUUGUGUUUUAUAUUAAGUUGUUAUUAAUUAUUUGAAUAAACGUCUUAAAAGUAA
Long non-coding RNA from Oncorhynchus nerka (sockeye salmon), 1483 nucleotides. RefSeq lists it as uncharacterized. NCBI's taxonomy places the organism in Eukaryota, Metazoa, Chordata, Actinopteri, Salmoniformes, Salmonidae. The transcript is spliced from 2 exons. The record is from RefSeq and is a predicted model, not a curated record.